AGCCGCGGUAAUACGGAGGGCGCUAGUGUUGUUCGGAAUUACUGGGCGUAAAGCGCACGUAGGCGGAUGGACAUGUCAGAGGUGAUAUCCCGGGGCUCAACCCGGGAACUGCCUUUGAAACUGUCUGUCUGGAGGUCGGGAGAGGUGAGUGGAAUUCCGAGUGUAGAGGUGAAAUUGGUAGAUAUGGGGAGGAACACCGGUGGGGAAGGCGCCUCACUGGCCCUAUUCUGACGCUGAGGUGCGAAAGCGUGGGGAGCAAACAGGAUUAGAUACCUCUGGUAGUCCACGCCCUAAACGAUGAAUGCCAGACGUCGGGCAGCAUGCUGUUCGGUGUCGCACCUAACGCAUUAAGCACUCCGCCUGGGGAGUACGGCCGCAAGGUUAAAACUCAA
RNAcentral lists this ribosomal RNA (392 nucleotides) under uncultured bacterium. RNAcentral describes it as "bacterial SSU rRNA". It matches the Rfam family "Bacterial small subunit ribosomal RNA", at positions 513 to 904 of the family's 1533-position model. The record is from RNAcentral.